GUUGUUUAUCUCUCUUUAUUGUGUUGUUCACUCUGCUCUGCAUGCAUAAUAUUUUCCUGUAGCUACAGUUACAUUGAUCUGGCCCACUUUAUGGAAAUGGUGAUGGUUCUCUGAAUUGAUAGAAUUUACAGGAGAUAUCUCCGCUUUCUACUUUGAAUUUUAUCAAUCAUUAGAUGUCCUAACUGCUUCAUUCUUCAGGAAAUGUAUAAAAAUAAUCACCGCAGAAAGAUUGUGGUGGCUUGAUACAGGCUGUUCUUCCCUUAAGGGGUAAAAUUUUGAACAUUGAAAGAAGGGAUGAAGUAGCAAUGUACAAGAAUGAAGAGAUUCAAAAUCUUAUUCUAGCUCUGGGACUUGGAGUAAAGGGAGAAGAUUGGUGUAACAGCAAAAUUGGUGUAACAAAGGGUUUGGUUUUGGAGUUAUGCAGCAAGGUUUAAUUGGUUAGAAGAGGCAAGGAAAGGGUGUUUUAAAUUUAUUCAAAGUAAAACCUGCCCUUCUUUGUUUCAUCUAGCCCUCGUCUUUUAUCAUUAUGCUAUGUAUAUCGUCCUUAAUAUUCUCUUGCACUUGUCAGAGAUAUGGCGAAGUAACCAAGCAAAGACUUGAUCUUGCUGUUCUGGUCUUCUUUCAACAUUUUAGGAAGUCUUAUGUGGGAGUUCAAGCAAUGCAUUCUUCUAAGGUAAACCAAUUUAAAGUUUGACCUUCCAUUUGGAAAGUGGGAGAAGAAGCAAGCAUCACAAGCUCCAUAGUUGGAGACAAAAAAGAACAAUGGGGUUCCUACUUUAGCUUGGUGAUUCAUCUUAGAGCGAUUGCGAUGUCGAAGUUCUCUCUCUCUACCGAUUUCGAAGCUCCACCGCCGCUAGCAUCGUCUACUAAGACCGAGAGGAUUGAAGGCCAUGGGAAGCAGCAUGGAGAGCGAUUCAGAAUGACGGUGAAGGAUGGAUGGGGCUUUCCUUUAGAUUUUUAUUUCUCUUCUUUUUUCCUUCUUUUUUUAUUUCUUUCUUUUUUCCCUCUAAUUUGAUUGGGGGUUGGGUGUUUUGGUUCGCUUUCUUAUUUUUUGUGUUAAAUGGGGGAGUGGUAAGAGAGAAAAGAGGGUAAUGUUAUUUUGUGACUUUGUAUAUAAAGUAGUAAUUUUUUGAUUGAAAAUUGUGAAUUUAAUUUUUGUAUAUGUUAU
This is a non-coding RNA of Camellia sinensis, 1168 nucleotides long. NCBI's taxonomy places the organism in Eukaryota, Viridiplantae, Streptophyta, Magnoliopsida, Ericales, Theaceae. The record is from RefSeq and is a predicted model, not a curated record.